UACGAAGGGGGCUAGCGUUGCUCGGAAUCACUGGGCGUAAAGCGCACGUAGGCGGAUCUUUAAGUCAGGGGUGAAAUCCUGGAGCUCAACUCCAGAACUGCCUUUGAUACUGGGGAUCUCGAGUCCGGAAGAGGUGAGUGGAACUCCGAGUGUAGAGGUGAAAUUCGUAGAUAUUCGGAAGAACACCAGUGGCGAAGGCGGCUCUCUGGGCCUUACCUGACGCUGAGGAGCGAAAGCGUGGGUAGCGAACAGG
Molecule: ribosomal RNA, 253 nt
Filed under: uncultured bacterium
Lineage: Bacteria
Description: partial 16S ribosomal RNA
Rfam family: Bacterial small subunit ribosomal RNA
Source: RNAcentral